Molecule: transfer RNA, 66 nt
Filed under: Hycleus scutellatus
Lineage: Eukaryota; Metazoa; Arthropoda; Insecta; Coleoptera; Meloidae
Description: tRNA-Asp
Source: RNAcentral
AAAAAUUUAGUUAAUUUAUAACAUUAGUUUGUCAAGCUGAAGUAAAUACUUUAGUAUUAAUUUUUA